This 433-nucleotide ribosomal RNA is filed under the name uncultured bacterium. RNAcentral describes it as "partial 16S ribosomal RNA". It matches the Rfam family "Bacterial small subunit ribosomal RNA", at positions 29 to 507 of the family's 1533-position model. The record is from RNAcentral.
AACGAACGCUGGCGGCAGGCCUAACACAUGCAAGUCGAGCGAGGACUUCGGUUCUAGCGGCGGACGGGGGAGUAACGCGUGGGGAUGUUCCCUUCUCUACGGACUAGCCCUGGGAAACUGGGAGUAAUACCGUAUACGCCCUAUUGGGGAAAAAUUUAUCGGAGAAGGAUCAGCCCGCGUUGGAUUAGGUAGUUGGUGGGGUAAUGGCCGACCAAGCCGACGAUCCAUAGCUGGUUUGAGAGGCUGAUCAGCCACACUGGGACUGGGACACGGCCCAGACUCCUACGCGAGGCAGCAGUGGGGAAUCUUAGACAGUGGGGGCAACCCUGAUCUAGCCAGGCCGGUUGAGUGAUGAAGGCCUUAGGGUUGUAAAGCUCUUUCAGCUGGGAAGAUAAUGACGGUACCAGCAGAAGAAGCCCCGGCUAACUCCGUG